CAGUCGCCGCGGUAAUACGUAGGGUGCGAGCGUUAAUCGGAUUUACUGGGCGUAAAGCGUGCGCAGGCGGCCCGUUAAGACAGGUGUGAAAUCCCUGGGCUCAACCUAGGAAUUGCGCUUGUGACUGGCGGGCUCGAGUACGGUAGAGGGGGGUGGAAUUCCUGGUGUAGCAGUGAAAUGCGUAGAGAUCAGGAGGAACACCGAUGGCGAAGGCAGCCCCCUGGGCCUGUACUGACGCUCAUGCACGAAAGCGUGGGGAGCAAACAGGAUUAGAUACCCCUGUAGUCCCUGUCUCUUAUAC
RNAcentral lists this ribosomal RNA (301 nucleotides) under uncultured bacterium. RNAcentral describes it as "partial 16S ribosomal RNA". It matches the Rfam family "Bacterial small subunit ribosomal RNA", at positions 509 to 807 of the family's 1533-position model. The record is from RNAcentral.